This 253-nucleotide ribosomal RNA is filed under the name uncultured bacterium. RNAcentral's name for it is "partial 16S ribosomal RNA". It matches the Rfam family "Bacterial small subunit ribosomal RNA", at positions 524 to 776 of the family's 1533-position model. The record is from RNAcentral.
UACGGAGGGUGCAAGCGUUAUCCGGAUUCACUGGGUUUAAAGGGUGCGCAGGUGGGUUGGUAAGUCAGUGGUGAAAUCCCCGAGCUUAACUUGGGAACUGCCAUUGAUACUAUCAGUCUUGAAUACCGUGGAGGUCAGCGGAAUAUGUCAUGUAGCGGUGAAAUGCUUAGAUAUGACAUAGAACACCAAUUGCGAAGGCAGCUGGCUACUCGGAUAUUGACACUGAGGCACGAAAGCGUGGGGAUCAAACAGG